This 253-nucleotide ribosomal RNA is filed under the name uncultured bacterium. RNAcentral describes it as "partial 16S ribosomal RNA". It matches the Rfam family "Bacterial small subunit ribosomal RNA", at positions 524 to 776 of the family's 1533-position model. The record is from RNAcentral.
UACGUAGGGCGCAAGCGUUGUCCGGAAUUAUUGGGCGUAAAGAGCUCGUAGGCGGCUUGUCACGUCGAUUGUGAAAGCCCGAGGCUUAACCUCGGGUCUGCAGUCGAUACGGGCUAGCUAGAGUGUGGUAGGGGAGAAUGGAAUUCCCGGUGUAGCGGUGAAAUGCGCAGAUAUCGGGAGGAACACCGGUGGCGAAGGCGGCGACCUGGGCCAAUAUUGACGCUGAGGUGCGAAAGCGUGGGGAGCAAACAGG